This is a long non-coding RNA of Panthera uncia (snow leopard), 1019 nucleotides long. RefSeq lists it as uncharacterized. The record is from RefSeq and is a predicted model, not a curated record. The transcript is spliced from 2 exons. NCBI's taxonomy places the organism in Eukaryota, Metazoa, Chordata, Mammalia, Carnivora, Felidae.
CAGGAUGCGGCCACAACCCCAAACAGCACCACAUCCUCACAAGGCUGAGGGACGCGACCACGAGAAGGACUUUCUCCUUGACGCUCCCCAACCCCGACCUGUUUCCGCGAGGACAGUCUUUCCCAGAAGUCCCUGGCACACGCCUCCUUAGGUCUCAUUGGGCAGAGCUGGGUCACAUGACCACACUUGGGCCAAUCACCGGCAAGAGCACCGAGGGAGACAAAAUUGGCUUUUACGAAGUAUGGGGCUUCCCCAGUGUUGAUGCUGGAAGGUCAGAGUUGGUUUCGCGAGGGAGGACGGGACAGGCAUGUGCGGUGGCCACCCAAAAUGGCUGCCUCCGCAUAUUAGCACAGCAUUGUUUUCCAUCCCAGGUGGGGUCUACGGACUCCAGUUCUAAAGGCUUCUCACCUUUUUAAAAGUACUUGGGAGCCUCUCAGCUUUGACCUUCCCAGGAAGGGGGCCUGCUUGGGCCAUUUGGGGAUAAGAGUCUUACAAAACUGAACAUAUCUGACACCUGGUUGAGAGGUGCCUGCCUGUAGGCACGAGAAGCCUCCCGGAAAAGGAAUCACCUAAAAAAAGAAGGGGUUCAUUCCAUCACUGCCUCAGCCGCCAUUUAUUGAUCACCUACUGUGUGCCAGCCAUGGUGAUCAGGGCUAGUGGUGAACAGCACAAAUGUAAAGGGCAAACAAUUGUCACUCUCCAUCCCAGUGCCCAUCGGCUCAUGGGGCACCCAAGGGAGAACGACCUCUAUUAGAAUAAGGAAAAUCUGCAAGAGCAGUUUCUGGAACAACAUGCUGAGCACUUAGCAGCACUGCAUCAAAGCCUCAAUGAGGGAGCACAGUUUGCUUCAGGAUCGAAAGAAGUUCCACAUACUCCAUAAAUCUUAAACCCUUCGGGAAUUCCAGAUCAAAACAAAAGCCGGAACAAAAUUGGAUUUCUCUAUCCCUACUUUAUAUUUUGUGAAAUUGCAAUCGUGGAGAGGGUAUUUUUUUUUUCCUUAUUAAAAAAUAAAAACAAAA